Molecule: ribosomal RNA, 253 nt
Filed under: uncultured bacterium
Lineage: Bacteria
Description: partial 16S ribosomal RNA
Rfam family: Bacterial small subunit ribosomal RNA
Source: RNAcentral
UACGUAGGGUGCAAGCGUUAAUCGGAAUUACUGGGCGUAAAGCGUGCGCAGGCGGUGAUGUAAGACAGAUGUGAAAUCCCCGGGCUCAACCUGGGAUCUGCAUUUGUGACUGCAUCGCUGGAGUACGGCAGAGGGGGAUGGAAUUCCGCGUGUAGCAGUGAAAUGCGUAGAUAUGCGGAGGAACACCGAUGGCGAAGGCAAUCCCCUGGGCCUGUACUGACGCUCAUGCACGAAAGCGUGGGGAGCAAACAGG